RNAcentral lists this ribosomal RNA (499 nucleotides) under uncultured Glomeromycotina. Its description in RNAcentral is "partial small subunit ribosomal RNA". It matches the Rfam family "Eukaryotic small subunit ribosomal RNA", at positions 591 to 1092 of the family's 1831-position model. Lineage: Eukaryota; Fungi; Glomeromycota. The record is from RNAcentral.
CCAAUAGCGUAUAUUAAAGUUGUUGCAGUUAAAAAGCUCGUAGUUGAAUUUCGGGACCAAUAUGUCGGUCGUGCUUCGGUACGUACUUGCAUUAUUUGUUUCUCCCUUCUGAAGAACCAUGAUGUCAUUAAUUUGGUGUCGUGGGAAAUCAGGACUGUUACUUUGAAAAAAUUAGAGUGUUUAAAGCAGGCUCGCGCUUGAAUACAUUAGCAUGGAAUAAUGAAAUAGGACGUUUGAUUCUAUUUUGUUGGUUUCUAGGAUCGGCGUAAUGAUUAAUAGGGAUAGUUGGGGGCAUUAGUAUUCAAUUGUCAGAGGUGAAAUUCUUGGAUUUAUUGAAGACUAACUACUGCGAAAGCAUUUGCCAAGGAUGUUUUCAUUAAUCAAGAACGAAAGUUAGGGGAUCGAAGACGAUCAGAUACCGUCGUAGUCUUAACCAUAAACUAUGCCGACUAGGGAUCGGAUGAUGUUAAUUUUUUAAUGACUCAUUCGGCGCCUUACG